RNAcentral lists this ribosomal RNA (156 nucleotides) under uncultured fungus. Its description in RNAcentral is "5.8S ribosomal RNA". It matches the Rfam family "5.8S ribosomal RNA". Rfam says of the family: 5.8S ribosomal RNA (5.8S rRNA) is a component of the large subunit of the eukaryotic ribosome. It is transcribed by RNA polymerase I as part of the 45S precursor that also contains 18S and 28S rRNA. Lineage: Eukaryota; Fungi. The record is from RNAcentral.
AAUAAUUUUUAACAAUGGAUCUCUAGGCUCUUGCAACGAUGAAGAACGCAGUCAAUUGCGAUAAGUAAUGUGAAUUGCAUUACCUGUGAAUCAUCGAAUCUUUGAACGCAUUUUGCACUUUGUCUCUGGCAAAGUAUAUCUGUUUGAGUAUCAUAA